UAGUUUUCUUUUAUUGCAUGGAAUUAGUAGUUUGACAAGUAAGGAGAAGUGACUAAAACACAACUAUUCACAUAAAUAACUUAUCCAAACACAUGGUCGUUUACGUUGAUCUCUUUGAUCUCUUACCUAAAACACUAUGGAAAACAGGACAGAUGAAGAAAAAAAAUAUGAGGUGGCAUUUGAAAAGUGAUCACCUCUCGAACCUCUCAAAUCCACCACACUGAAUGGGAGUGGAGCAUACUCAGAAAAAUAAACUGAGGUGUCCACAAUCGCACUGCGCGAUAGUGAGGGGUGGAUGUAGCCACAGUUCUCAUUCUAGCCACAAGCCCACAAACACACAUGCAGAACUGCAGAUGUACCAGACAGAGUUGCCACUGCAUGGUCUGGCGGCAGCAACUCAGUCACCUCGCUGGGUGGUCCUCCUCCCAGCAGUCGAACCAAGGUGCAAGCAUUUCUGAAAUAAAGGCAAUUGAUGACAUCCAAAACUUCGUAAAAUAAGUAAAUAUUAGACAUAAAUAUAAUUCGAAGGUCAUGGUUUAUACUCCCUCCGUCCCAAAAUUCUUGUCUUAGAUUUGUCUAGAUACGGAUGUAUCUAAUACUAAAACGUGACUUGAUAUAUCGAUAUUUAGAUAAAUCUAAGACAAAAAUUUUGGGACGAAGGGAGUAACAAAUAUUGCAGGUUGAUGUAUAGGAGAAGAAUAAAAAUGCUUAUGGUUGCAGGAGAUGAAAAAUAGGAGUGAGGCUUUAAAACAUGCCAAGCAAAAAAAUGUAAGACCAAGGUGGUACCUUGUGAUUUCAUUGUAGAUGCCCACUCUAACCAUAUGAAUCAAGCGAUUGACCUUCCAAUAAUCAGAAACUAUUUGUGUAUUAACAAAAUAAUUUGCUAUGCUACACUGUAAACUCCAUGUGUGUGUAUGUGUGCCUGAGAGAGAGAAAGAGAUGAACUGCAAACCAAGAAAGAAAACUGUGCAGACAAAGCCGUGGGUAGAAAGAUUUUUCGUCCUAGCAGGCGAUAGUAGUUCAUUCAGAAUUUCAGAUACGGCGGAUGAUGUGACUACCUUUUGCGGCGCAAAGGGUGGGCUGCAGCUUCGAUCCUGAACGGCGGCGGACAGACGACAUCGCGCAGUAGCGUUCAUCCUAGUCAACGAUGGAUGGUGAGGACAACCUCAGCAAGGGGUGAGCUGCCAAAAUAGGCGGAG
Molecule: long non-coding RNA, 1199 nt
Filed under: Triticum aestivum (bread wheat)
Lineage: Eukaryota; Viridiplantae; Streptophyta; Magnoliopsida; Poales; Poaceae
Description: long non-coding RNA (TAES_LNC007863)
Rfam family: MIR1120/MIR1122 microRNA precursor family (bases 536-670)
Source: RNAcentral